RNAcentral lists this long non-coding RNA (244 nucleotides) under Trifolium pratense (red clover). RNAcentral describes it as "long non-coding RNA (TPRA_LNC009969)". Lineage: Eukaryota; Viridiplantae; Streptophyta; Magnoliopsida; Fabales; Fabaceae. The record is from RNAcentral.
AUAUGAGUUGAUUUCCCUCUUGAGGUUUGAUUGAUACCACACGAUGCUAGAUAUAUUUUUUGUGCUACAUAUAAAAAAGCAUGUGUAUGGUAUAGAAGUGAAGCAUCACUCCUUAUUCCUGGAUUUGCUGGCCAAAACCAGUUUCUUAUUACACAGUAAAAAAAAAAUAUUGUUUGGAGCUUAUGGUUAUAUACAUUGAUCUGACAUCAUUGGCAAAGGAUAUGGCCAUAUGGGACCAUGAAGA